Molecule: ribosomal RNA, 305 nt
Filed under: uncultured bacterium
Lineage: Bacteria
Description: partial 16S ribosomal RNA
Rfam family: Bacterial small subunit ribosomal RNA
Source: RNAcentral
ACAGCAGUCGCCACGGUAAUACCAGCAGCCCAAGUGGUGGUCGCGAUUAUUGGGCCUAAAGCGCUCGUGGCCGGGCCGGUAAGUCCCUUGUGAAAUCGGACGGCCUAACCGUUCGGCGUGCAAGGGAUACUGUCGGUCUUGAGGCCGGGAGACGUCCGAGGUACUCCGGGGGUAGCGGUGAAAUGCGUAGAGAUCGGGAGGAACAUCAGUGGCGAAGGCGGCCAUCUGGGACAACACUGACGCUGAGGCACGAAAGCGUGGGGAGCAAACAGGAUUAGAUACCCCUGUAGUCCCUGUCUCUUAUU